GACGAACGCUGGCGGCGUGCUUAAUACAUGCAAGUCGAACGGACAGGCCCUGCUUUUGUGGGGUGCUCGAGUGGCGCACGGGUGUGUAACACGUGAGUAACAUGCCCUUGUCUUUGGGAUAAAUUUAGGAGACUGGGGAUCAUACCGGAUAGGAGCUCUUGCUGCAUGUGGGGGGUUGGAAAGAUUCGGCGGUGGGGGCUUGAAUCGCGGGUUACCAGCUUGUUUGGCGGGUAGUUGAUUUCCAAGGCUUUGACGGGUAGCCGGCCUGGGAGGGUGGACGGGGACAAUGGGCCUAAGGUACGGCGCAGACUCCUACGGUAGGCAAUAGGGGGAAAUAUUACACAAUAGGCGGAAGCCAGAGGCGGCAACCCCGCGUGCGGGAAGACGUCCUUCGGGUUAUAAACCGCUUUCUCCUGUGACGAAGCGGGAUUGACGGUAAUUGAUAAAGAAGCACCGGCUAACUACGUG
RNAcentral lists this ribosomal RNA (468 nucleotides) under uncultured bacterium. RNAcentral's name for it is "partial 16S ribosomal RNA". It matches the Rfam family "Bacterial small subunit ribosomal RNA", at positions 28 to 507 of the family's 1533-position model. The record is from RNAcentral.